UAUGGCUUCUCUUGUGUUUUCCCGUGGUUCUUGGGCUUUGUAAGAUCUGGAUACAUUUUCUUCUUCUCCCCUAGAGUAACUUCAAGAAGUACUUCAUCAGUUUUUGCAGAUGUAAAACCACGUCAUGAGUCAGUUGGUAUUUUCUGCUCAAAGAGCUCUGUGAUGAAGUUGGAGCACCAAAUAGCCAUUAAAAAUAUUUAUCAAGGCUGGGCAUGCUGGCUCAUGCCUACUUGGAAGGUGGAGAUCUGAAGGAUUGCAGUUCAAGGCCAGCCAAGGCAAAAAGUUAGCAAGACCCUGUCUCAAGAAAUAAGCUGGGUGUGGUGGUGCAUGCCUGUGAUACCAGCUACAAGGAAGUCAUGGUAAGAGGACUGAGAUCUGCAGCCAGCCCUGGGCAAAAAUGUCAAGCCCUAUCUGAAAAAUAACAAAAGCCAAAAAAGGGCUGGGUGUGUAGCUCAAGGGGUAGCGCUACAAGUGCAAGACCCUGAGUUCUUACCCCAGUGUCCCACCAAGAAAAUUAUCAAAAGAAUUGUUUGUGAUAAUAUUUAAUGGAAAGAACUUGAGGAUUUUUUUUUUUGCAAUUCUGGUGUUUGAACUCAGGUCCUCACGCUUGGUAAGCAGGUUUUCUGGCACUUGAGCCACACUCCAAGCC
This 649-nucleotide long non-coding RNA is filed under the name Castor canadensis (American beaver). RNAcentral describes it as "lncRNA (ENSCCNG00000011706.1)". The record is from RNAcentral. Lineage: Eukaryota; Metazoa; Chordata; Mammalia; Rodentia; Castoridae.